This 374-nucleotide ribosomal RNA is filed under the name Escherichia coli. RNAcentral's name for it is "partial 23S ribosomal RNA". It matches the Rfam family "Bacterial large subunit ribosomal RNA", at positions 76 to 443 of the family's 2925-position model. Lineage: Bacteria; Pseudomonadati; Pseudomonadota; Gammaproteobacteria; Enterobacterales; Enterobacteriaceae. The record is from RNAcentral.
CUUUGGGGAGCUGUAAGUAAGCUUUGAUCCAGAGAUUUCCGAAUGGGGAAACCCAGCAUGAGUUAUGUCAUGUUAUCGAUAUGUGAAUACAUAGCAUAUCAGAAGGCACACCCGGAGAACUGAAACAUCUUAGUACCCGGAGGAAGAGAAAGAAAAUUCGAUUCCCUUAGUAGCGGCGAGCGAAACGGGAAGAGCCCAAACCAACAAGCUUGCUUGUUGGGGUUGUAGGACACUCUAUACGGAGUUACAAAGGACGACAUUAGACGAAUCAUCUGGAAAGAUGAAUCAAAGAAGGUAAUAAUCCUGUAGUCGAAAAUGUUGUCUCUCUUGAGUGGAUCCUGAGUACGACGGAGCACGUGAAAUUCCGUCGGAAU